CGAAACUGCGAAUAGCUCAUUAAUACGCUCAGAAUCUAUUUGGCGGCGACCAACAGGUCUUAAAUGGAUAGCAGCAGCAACUCUGGUGCUAAUACAUGCGAUUGUUUCUCCAGAUGUGAAUUAUGGAGGAAAAGUUGACCUCAUCAGAGGCACGCCAUUCGACUGAGUGACCUAUCAGCUUGUACUUAGGGUCUUUACCUAGGUAGGCUAUCACGGGUAACGGGCGGUUACCGUCGGACUGCCGGAGAAGGCGCCUGAGAGAUAGCGACUAUAUCCACGGGUAGCAGCAGGCGCGAAACUUUCCCACUCGAGACUUUCGGAGGAGGUAAUGACCAGUUCCAUUGGUGCCUUUUGGUACUGUGGAUAGGGGUACGGUUUUCCACCGUACCGAAACCUAGCAGAGGGCCAGUCUGGUGCCAGCAGCUGCGGUAAUUCCAGCUCUGCGAGUUUGCUCCCAUAUUGUUGCAGUUAAAACGCCCGUAGUCUGAAUUGGCCAGCAAUGGUCGUACGUAUUUUUACGUUCACUGUGAACAAAUCAGGACGCUUAGAGUAUGGCCACAUGAAUGACUCAGCGCAGUAUGAAGUCUUUGUUUUCUUCCGAAAACAAGCUCAAUGAGAGCCAUCGGGGGUAGAUCUAUCUCAUGACGAGUGGUGGAAUACUUUGACUCAUGAGAGAGAAGCUGAGGCGAAGGCGUCUACCUAGAGGGUUUCUGUCGAUCAAGGGCGAGAGUAGGAGUAUCCAACAGGAUUAGAGACCCUGGUAGUUCCUACCUUAAACGAUGCCGACAGGAGUUUGUCAUUUGUUAAUGGCAGAAUCUUUGGAGAAAUCAUAGUUCUUGGGCUCUGGGGGAACUACGACCGCAAGGCUGAAACUUGAAGGAAUUGACGGAAGGGCACACCAGGGGUGGAGCCUGUGGCUUAAUUUGAAUCAACACGGGGGAAACUUACCAGGACCAGAUGUUUUUUAUGACUGACAGGCUUCGGGUCUUUCAGGAUAUUGUUUUUGGUGGUGCAUGGCCGUUGGUGGUGCGUGGGUUGACCGGUCUAGCGUUGAUUCAGCUAACGAGCGAGAUUAUCGCCAAUUAUUUACUUUGCCGAAGUCCUUCGGUUAAAGUUCUAAUUGGGACUCCCCGGCGAUUUUUUGCAGGGGGGAAGAAGGGUAGCAAUAAAAAGG
Molecule: ribosomal RNA, 1174 nt
Filed under: Trichomonas vaginalis
Lineage: Eukaryota; Parabasalia; Trichomonadida; Trichomonadidae
Description: SSU rRNA
Rfam family: Eukaryotic small subunit ribosomal RNA
Source: RNAcentral